RNAcentral lists this ribosomal RNA (254 nucleotides) under uncultured bacterium. RNAcentral's name for it is "partial 16S ribosomal RNA". It matches the Rfam family "Bacterial small subunit ribosomal RNA", at positions 524 to 776 of the family's 1533-position model. The record is from RNAcentral.
UACGAAGGGGGCAAGCGUUGUUCGGAAUUACUGGGCGUAAAGGGCGCGUAGGCGGCUCUUGCAAGUCAGGUGUGAAAGCCCUGGGCUCAACCCGGGAACUGCACUUGAAACUGCGGGGCUUGAAUCCGGGAGAGGUUGGUGGAAUUCCCAGUGUAGAGGUGAAAUUCGUAGAUAUUGGGAAGAACACCGGAGGCGAAGGCGGCCAACUGGUCCGGUAUUGACGCUGAGGCGCGAGAGCGUGGGGAGCAAACAGG